GAUGAAGAACGUAGCGAAAUGCGAUAAGUAAUGUGAAUUACAGAAUUCAGUGAAUCAUCGAAUCUUUGAACGCACAUUGCGCCCGCCAGUAUUCUGGCGGGCAUGCCUGUUCGAGCGUCAUUUCAACCAUCAAGCCCCCGGCUUGUGUUGGGGACCUGCGGCUGCCGCAGGCCCUGAAAACCAGUGGCGGGCUCGCUGUCACACCGAGCGUAGUAGAUUUUCAUCUCGCUCAGGGCGUGCUGCGGGUUCCGGCCGUAAAAAGCCUUAUUUACCCAAGGUUGACCUCGGAUCAGGUAGGAAGACCCGCUGAACUUAAGCAUAUCAAUAAGCGGAGGA
Molecule: unclassified non-coding RNA, 336 nt
Filed under: soil metagenome
Description: partial contains 5.8S ribosomal RNA, internal transcribed spacer 2, and large subunit ribosomal RNA
Rfam family: 5.8S ribosomal RNA (bases 1-120)
Source: RNAcentral